Molecule: non-coding RNA, 29 nt
Filed under: Rattus norvegicus (Norway rat)
Lineage: Eukaryota; Metazoa; Chordata; Mammalia; Rodentia; Muridae
Source: RNAcentral
UUGUCAUGGCUGUGCUCACUGAAGUGGUU